UACGUGGGUGGCAAGCGUUGUCCGGAAUUAUUGGGCGUAAAGCGCGCGCAGGCGGUCCCUUAAGUCUGAUGUGAAAGCCCACGGCUCAACCGUGGAGGGUCAUUGGAAACUGGGGGACUUGAGUACAGAAGAGGAAAGCGGAAUUCCACGUGUAGCGGUGAAAUGCGUAGAGAUGUGGAGGAACACCAGUGGCGAAGGCGGCUUUCUGGUCUGUAACUGACGCUGAGGCGCGAAAGCGUGGGGAGCAAACAGG
This 253-nucleotide ribosomal RNA is filed under the name uncultured bacterium. RNAcentral describes it as "partial 16S ribosomal RNA". It matches the Rfam family "Bacterial small subunit ribosomal RNA", at positions 524 to 776 of the family's 1533-position model. The record is from RNAcentral.